RNAcentral lists this ribosomal RNA (429 nucleotides) under Chloroflexota bacterium. Its description in RNAcentral is "Chloroflexi bacterium partial 16S ribosomal RNA". It matches the Rfam family "Bacterial small subunit ribosomal RNA", at positions 355 to 776 of the family's 1533-position model. Lineage: Bacteria; Bacillati; Chloroflexota. The record is from RNAcentral.
UGGGGAAUAUUGCACAAUGGGCGCAAGCCUGAUGCAGCCAUGCCGCGUGUGUGAAGAAGGCCUUCGGGUUGUAAAGCACUUUCAGCGGGGAGGAAGGCGAUAAGGUUAAUAACCUUGUCGAUUGACGUUACCCCCAGAAGAAGCACCGGCUAACUCCGUGCCAGCAGCCGCGGUAAUACGGAGGGUGCAAGCGUUAAUCGGAAUUACUGGGCGUAAAGCGCACGCAGGCGGUCUGUCAAGUCGGAUGUGAAAUCCCCGGGCUAAACCUGGGAACUGCAUUCGAAACUGGAAGGCUAGAGUAGUGUAGAGGGGGGUAGAAUUCCAGGUGGAGCGGUGAAAUGCGUAGAGAUCUGGAGGAAUACCGGUGGCGAAGGAGGCCCCCUGGACAAAGAGUGACGAUCAGGUGCGAAAGCGUGGGGAGCAAACAGG